GGCAUAUAUUUUGAAUUGGGUUUGUUGGUUUGAGUUUAAAUGGUAAUCCUUUUUGCCAAUAAAAUUGCUUGCUAAAGAUAAAAAUAAAUAAGGCAUGCCUUUCUAGAACCUUGAGCCUAGAACAAAGGCACUCACCUAGGCGCAUAGGCACUAGGAUUCAAGCAUAGUGAGCCUUGAGCCUGAGGCUCGCCUUUAAUAACUAUGUUUCACACAAAUGGAAUACAGAAUAUAACUAAUAAAAAAACCAUUGACCAGUGAUCUUUCAUAAGAAUGAAAAACAGGUACUUGAUACAAUUCUUAUUAAAUGUUCAAAGGAAAGGAUCGAAACAUAAACUAUCACCACCACUAGCCAUCCCUCUCAUACAUGAGAAUAUAGAUGUGACAUAGAACCAAAGAACACUCAAAAGGGAAAAGAACUGAAAUUUCAAAAUUGAUUAAUUCUCAAUUGUCAAUAAUAUGAAGCUCUGCAAAAAUACCUAGAUUGCAUAGCUAUUUAUAAUAUCUCAAAAUAAGAAAUACUAAACAAACACUAAUUAAGAAUUCCGAACCAACUCAAAUUUCCUAAAUAUAAUAAAAUACUUCCUAAACAAUAAUAGAAUUAUUAAACUUCAUAAUAGUAAAAAAAUCUAAACUAAAAAUCUCAACUUUACAAUUAAAAAUUAUAUAAAAAUAAUUUCUAAAUUGAAGUUUCCUUGACUGCAUCACAAAGGUUCUUAUUGUCAACUUUACAUGCUUAGCAUAGGGGAUGCAAUGUAAGGAGAUAGUUGGGCUGACAUGGUAGAGUAAGAUGAAAAUGUGCAAGACCAAUGCCUUAGUAUUAUAGCUCCCAUCAAGAACAACAUAUAAAAUAUUUACAAUGGGGACACCCAUUAGAACCAUGGUAAUGCUCAAAACAUUUUUCAAAUGGAAGUUAUACUUGUAAUUUAAAUGCUUAUCUUUCUUUACUUUCCUAGUUUUUUCUCCAAUUUGAGAGAAAACUAUAAUUGUCCUAAUCUCUCUCCACUUCUCUCAUUUUCCCUCCUCUUAAUUCUGAAACAAAGUCAACUUAAAGUCACUUAUACUCAUUUCACUAACUUCUCUCAAACUCAAGAAACUAUAACUUGUAAAGGAUA
Molecule: unclassified non-coding RNA, 1112 nt
Filed under: Hevea brasiliensis (rubber tree)
Lineage: Eukaryota; Viridiplantae; Streptophyta; Magnoliopsida; Malpighiales; Euphorbiaceae
Source: RNAcentral